GGUCAAGCUACAAAGAGCGCAAGGGGAAUGCCUUGGCACCAGGAGCCGACGAAGGACGCAGCAAUCUGCGAAAAGCCACGGGGAGGCGAAAGCAGCCAUCGAUCCGUGGAUAUCCGAAUGGGGAAACCCACUUAAGGGAAGCUUAAGUAACCUAUGGUGAAUAAAAUAGUCAUAGGUGGGGAACCGCCUGAACUGAAACAUCUAAGUAGGGCGAGGAAAAGAAAUCAACCGAGAUUCCGUAAGUAGUGGCGAGCGAACGCGGAAGAGGCCAAACCGAGAGUAGAAAUAUUUUCGGGGUUCGGACAACGGACGGAAUUGACAAGAGUUAGCAGAAGGACAUGGGAAGGUCCACCACAGAGAGUGAAAGUCUCGUACGCGAAAACACAAGUCAUCCAGUUGAAUCCAGAGUACCGCCGGACACGUGAAACCCGGUGGGAAAACGGGGGGACCAUCCUCCAAGCCUAAAUACUCCCUGGUGACCGAUAGAGAAGAGUACUGUGAAGGAAAGGUGAAAAGAACCCCGGGAGGGGAGUGAAAAGAACCUGAAACCUUGUGCUUACAAGCACAUAGAGCACGUCAAUGUGUGAUAUGGUACCUUUUGUAGAAUGGUCCGGCGAGUGAAUGUAACUAGCGAGGUUAAGCACUUAAGGUGCGGAGCCGCAGCGAAAGCGAGUCUGAAAAGGGCGAGAAAAGUUAGUUGUAUUCGACCCGAAACCGAGUGACCUAGCCAUGAGCAGGCUGAAGUGAAGGUAAAACUUCAUGGAGGGCCGAACCCACUCCCGUUGAAAUGGUAGGGGAUGACUUGUGGCUAGCGGAGAAAUUCCAAUCGAACUCGGAGAUAGCUGGUUCUCUCCGAAAUAGCUUUAGGGCUAGCCUCGAUCGAACAUUACCGGAGGUAGAGCACUGAAUAGGCUAGGGGCCGAGAGGUUACUGAACCUUAUCAAACUCCGAAUGCCGGAUAAUGAUGAUCGGGAGUCAGACUGCGUGAGAUAAGUUUCGUAGUCGAAAGGGAAACAGCCCAGACCCACAGCUAAGGUCCCGAAGUAUAGUUAAGUGGAAAAGGAUGUGGGGUUGCAUAGACAACCAGGAUGUUGGCUUAGAAGCAGCCACUCAUUAAAAGAGUGCGUAAUAGCUCACUGGUCGAGUGACCCUGCGCCGAAAAUUUAACGGGGCUAAACUAUACACCGAAGCUUGGGAUGUUUUAUACAUGGUAGGAGAGCGUUGUAUACGGGGUGAAGUCGUAGCGAAAGCGGCGGUGGACUGCAUAGAAGAGAGAAUGCCGGAAUGAGUAGCGAGAUUUAUGUGAGAAUCAUAAAGGCCGAAAGACUAAGGAUUCAGAAGGAAGGUUCGUCCGCUUCUGGUUAGCCGGGGGCUAAGGCGAGGCCGAAAGGCGUAGUCGAUGCACAUACGGUGGAGAUUCCGUAGCCGCCUGAAAUUUAAGCAAGGGGACACUUUAGAAGCUUUUGACCCGGGUAUUGGUUGCCCCGGGCGUAAGGGACCGAAAAUAUAGUAGGGAAGCAAAAGUGGAUAGAGGCGAGAAAAGCCUUGUGUAUAUAGUUCAGGUGCCCGUACCGCAAACCGACACAGGUAGUCAGGAAGAGAAUUCUAAGGCCAACGGGAGAAGGGUAGUUAAGGAA
RNAcentral lists this ribosomal RNA (1637 nucleotides) under Ruminococcus difficilis. Its description in RNAcentral is "Bacterial large subunit ribosomal RNA". It matches the Rfam family "Bacterial large subunit ribosomal RNA", at positions 1 to 1712 of the family's 2925-position model. The record is from Rfam by way of RNAcentral. Lineage: Bacteria; Bacillati; Bacillota; Clostridia; Eubacteriales; Oscillospiraceae.